AUGAAGAGGGUAGGAAACAUUGCUUCCCUUUUUGCGAGACAUGCUCAGAAGACAAGGAAGAAAGCUAGUACGCCGGAUGUGCAUGGGACCGCGGAUGUGGCCGAAGAGCAAACCAGAGAAUUUGUGGUUCAAGAGCAAACUCAAGAAACAGUGGUGUCUAUGUCAAAUGUCACGGUUGAGCAAACUCCAGAACCAAUGGUUCGACUUGAAGAUGUCUCAACACCACCGUCAGUUUAUGAUUUUAGCCGUCUUAAACAUGAUCCCGGGGAAAGACCACCCAUUGCAAGUUAUCAUGUCAAUGAUCAAGACGCAGUUCGGAGAGCAUAUAUCCUUAAGGCUGCAUUCAAACCUUAUGCACAUAACUUUGAAGCAAGAAGAAUUGGGAAUAGGUUUCGAUCAUUCAGUCCUUUUUGGUUUCAUGAACAUAGUUGGCUUGAAUAUAGUAUCAAGGAGAAAGCUACAUUUUGCUUUGUAUGCUUCUUGUUCAAAGAGAAAAAAACUAGUGGGAAGGGAACUAAUGCAUUUACUGAUGGUGGUUGGAGAAAUUGGAAUAGAGAUGAUGCUCUUGAUAAGCAUGUUGGUGGUGUAACAAGUGUGCACAAUGCAGCUCAAGAGAAAUAUGACUUAUUUGUGAAUCCCCAUGCAACAAUUAAUGAUCCUCUUGUGAAGGUGGAUAGUGAGGAUCUACGUCUUUAUAGGAUGAGGUUGAAGUAUUCACUUAGAUGCUUGCAGUUUCUUCUUCAUCAAGGAUUGGCAUUUCGUGGGCAUGAUGAAAGUGAACAAUCUAGCAACAGGGGAAACUUCAUUGAGCUAUUGAAGUGGCUUGCAAUAAAUAGUGAGGAGGUGAAUAAGUAUGUCUUGAAGAAUGCACCAGGUAAUUGCAAAUUGACUUCUCACCAGAUACAAAAUCAGAUUAUUCAAUGUUGUGCAGUACAUACUAGAAAUCAAAUUAUUGAACAAGUUGGUGAUGAUCAUUAUGCUAUUCUAGCUGAUGAGUCUAGUGAUGUAUCACAUAAAGAACAACUAGCUCUAUGUUUGCGUUUUGUUGAUAAAGUAGGAAGGCCAAGUGAGCACUUUCUUGGAGUUGUUCAUGUAAGUGACACCAUUGCAUUGUCACUCAAGGAAGCAAUUCAAACUUUACUUGCCAAUCAUGGUUUGACUAUAACUCAAAUUCGUGGGCAAGUUAUGAUGGGGCUAGUAACAUGA
RNAcentral lists this ribosomal RNA (1206 nucleotides) under Triticum aestivum (bread wheat). RNAcentral's name for it is "partial small subunit ribosomal RNA". Lineage: Eukaryota; Viridiplantae; Streptophyta; Magnoliopsida; Poales; Poaceae. The record is from RNAcentral.